ACGAACGCUGGCGGCAUGCCUAACACAUGCAAGUCGAACGAGACCUUCGGGUCUAGUGGCGCACGGGUGCGUAACGCGUGGGAACCUGCCCUUAGGUUCGGACUAACUCCCCGAAAGGGGUGCUAAUACCGGAUAAUGUCUUCGGACCAAAGAUUUAUCGCCUUUGGAUGGGCCCGCGUUGGAUUAGCUAGUUGGUAGGGUAAAAGCCUACCAAGGCGACGAUCCAUAGCUGGUCUGAGAGGAUGAUCAGCCACACUGGGACUGAGACACGGCCCAGACUCCUACGGGAGGCAGCAGUGGGGAAUAUUGGACAAUGGGCGAAAGCCUGAUCCAGCAAUGCCGCGUGAGUGAUGAAGGCCUUAGGGUUGUAAAGCUCUUUUACCCGGGAUGAUAAUGACAGUACCGGGAGAAUAAGCUCCGGCUAACUCCGUG
This 432-nucleotide ribosomal RNA is filed under the name uncultured bacterium. Its description in RNAcentral is "partial 16S ribosomal RNA". It matches the Rfam family "Bacterial small subunit ribosomal RNA", at positions 29 to 507 of the family's 1533-position model. The record is from RNAcentral.